GAAGGCUUAGUUGGGUAUAUUAAAAUGUGAACUCAGUCAGAUCUGAAAAGAAGCAGCUGUAAUAUUUUGAUAUAGGUUGACUAGCCUUCCUU
RNAcentral lists this signal recognition particle RNA (92 nucleotides) under Alphaproteobacteria bacterium. RNAcentral describes it as "signal recognition particle sRNA small type". It matches the Rfam family "Bacterial small signal recognition particle RNA". Rfam says of the family: The signal recognition particle (SRP) is a universally conserved ribonucleoprotein involved in the co-translational targeting of proteins to membranes. Archaeal SRP consists of a 7S RNA and homologues of the eukaryotic SRP19 and SRP54 proteins. The record is from RNAcentral. Lineage: Bacteria; Pseudomonadati; Pseudomonadota; Alphaproteobacteria.